This 465-nucleotide ribosomal RNA is filed under the name Vreelandella stevensii. RNAcentral's name for it is "partial 16S ribosomal RNA". It matches the Rfam family "Bacterial small subunit ribosomal RNA", at positions 338 to 795 of the family's 1533-position model. The record is from RNAcentral. Lineage: Bacteria; Pseudomonadati; Pseudomonadota; Gammaproteobacteria; Oceanospirillales; Halomonadaceae.
CCUACGGGAGGCUGCAGUGGGGAAUAUUGGACAAUGGGGGCAACCCUGAUCCAGCCAUGCCGCGUGUGUGAAGAAGGCCCUCGGUUUGUAAAGCACUUUCAGUGAGGAAGAACGCCUGGUGGUUAAUACACAUCAGGAAAGACAUCUCUCACAGAAGAAGCACCGGCUAACUCCGUGCCAGCAGCCGCGGUAAUACGGAGGGUGCGAGCGUUAAUCGGAAUUACUGGGCGUAAAGCGCGCGUAGGUGGCUUGAUAAGCCGGUUGUGAAAGCCCCGGGCUCAACCUGGGAACGGCAUCCGGAACUGUCAAGCUAGAGUGCAGGAGAGGAAGGUAGAAUUCCCGGUGUAGCGGUGAAAUGCGUAGAGAUCGGGAGGAAUACCAGUGGCGAAGGCGGCCUUCUGGACUGACACUGACACUGAGGUGCGAAAGCGUGGGUAGCAAACAGGAUUAGAUACCCGAGUAGUC